This 805-nucleotide long non-coding RNA is filed under the name Manihot esculenta (cassava). RNAcentral's name for it is "long non-coding RNA (MESC_LNC002813)". The record is from RNAcentral. Lineage: Eukaryota; Viridiplantae; Streptophyta; Magnoliopsida; Malpighiales; Euphorbiaceae.
GGAAAAAUAAUAGAAAUUCUGAACCGCCCUAACGAGACGGAAGAAAGUGACGAACAGACAGGCCGUGGGUGUGAAACCCCAGCUUCGGCAGAUGGAUUCGAAACAACUCAUGAACAGAAUAGAAUUUGGGGAUAACAUCCGGGGGGUUACUCCGAAGUAUUGGAAAACCUCGACAAAAAAAGGAGUAAAAGGGAAAGGUAAACCGAAAUCCCUCUGUUUGAGAAAAAAGACUAUACAACGCCCCCUCUGGGGAUCCAUCAAACCAGGGGGGGAGGGUUUGGAAGAACUAUCCUUUCAUUUUGGAAAGGAGCUCGAAUAAGAUAAAGCGGAGUAUCUAAAUACCUCCGAGAAAUAUGUUUAUUUAUGGUAGAAGAAGUGAUAUGCGACCUAAGAUUAGCGACAUCCGGGAGCUUUGGACCCUCCAUGGAAGAACAAAGAAGCGUACCUGAAAACGCAAUAGGGUGGAAAAAGCAGAAGAAGUUGCAGGAAAACAGAGAGCAGAAGAGAGCGAGUUUCUUCAGAAGACAGGGAGAAUUCGAAGUGAAAGGCAAUAAUGAGAUGAAACGUUGUUCUAAGCAGUUUUGUCUUGGAGCGGCGCGAUCAUUAAUUGCUCUCGAAGUUUACCCUCUCAACGGUUAGAUAAUAACCGGCGAGAAGGUAAAGGGGCAAGGAGAUGACCGCUGGGCUUCUCCACCCCUACAAAGGGCCAGGCCCACGACAAUAGCCCAUCAGCCGAAGGCCCACACGCUAUCUACAUAAGAUAAACCCAAAUUGUCAAAACCUUGAGACCGAGCUCCAAUUGAAU